UCCGAGUUGACCCCGGCGGUCUCCCACGAGUCCCCAACUAAAUGCUGGCAACAUACGACGGGGGUUGCGCUCGUUGCGGGACUUAACCCAACAUCUCACGACACGAGCUGACGACAGCCAUGCACCACCUGUGAAGAUGCCCCGAAGGGAAGACCUGUUUCCAGGCCGGUCAUCCACAUGUCAAGCCCAGGUAAGGUUCUUCGCGUUGCAUCGAAUUAAAGAACAUGCUCCGCUGCUUGUGCGGGCCCCCGUCAAUUCUUUUGAGUUUUAGCCUUGCGGCCGUACUCCCCAGGCGGAACACUUAACGCGUUGGCUGCGGCACAGAGGGAUUCGACUCCCCCCACACCUAGUGUUCAUCGUUUACCGCGUGGACUAC
This 376-nucleotide unclassified non-coding RNA is filed under the name uncultured Actinomycetes bacterium. RNAcentral's name for it is "uncultured actinobacterium contains 16S-23S intergenic spacer region". Lineage: Bacteria; Bacillati; Actinomycetota; Actinomycetes. The record is from RNAcentral.